AUUGAACGCUGGCGGCAGGCCUAACACAUGCAAGUCGAACGGUAACAGGAAGAAGCUUGCUUCUUUGCUGACGAGUGGCGGACGGGUGAGUAAUGUCUGGGAAACUGCCUGAUGGAGGGGGAUAACUACUGGAAACGGUAGCUAAUACCGCAUAACGUCGCAAGACCAAAGAGGGGGACCUUCGGGCCUCUUGCCAUCGGAUGUGCCCAGAUGGGAUUAGCUUGUUGGUGGGGUAACGGCUCACCAAGGCGACGAUCCCUAGCUGGUCUGAGAGGAUGACCAGCCACACUGGAACUGAGACACGGUCCAGACUCCUACGGGAGGCAGCAGUGGGGAAUAUUGCACAAUGGGCGCAAGCCUGAUGCAGCCAUGCCGCGUGUAUGAAGAAGGCCUUCGGGUUGUAAAGUACUUUCAGCGGGGAGGAAGGGAGUAAAGUUAAUACCUUUGCUCAUUGACGUUACCCGCAGAAGAAGCACCGGCUAACUCCGUGCCAGCAGCCGCGGUAAUACGGAGGGUGCAAGCGUUAAUCGGAAUUACUGGGCGUAAAGCGCACGCAGGCGGUUUGUUAAGUCAGAUGUGAAAUCCCCGGGCUCAACCUGGGAACUGCAUCUGAUACUGGCAAGCUUGAGUCUCGUAGAGGGGGGUAGAAUUCCAGGUGUAGCGGUGAAAUGCGUAGAGAUCUGGAGGAAUACCGGUGGCGAAGGCGGCCCCCUGGACGAAGACUGACGCUCAGGUGCGAAAGCG
Molecule: ribosomal RNA, 744 nt
Filed under: uncultured Pseudomonadota bacterium
Lineage: Bacteria; Pseudomonadati; Pseudomonadota
Description: bacterial SSU rRNA
Rfam family: Bacterial small subunit ribosomal RNA
Source: RNAcentral